CGCCUUUAUAUUGUCCACCCUCCGUUUCUGUCGUCCUCUGUGGGCGGGUCGUUCCUUUAGCAUCUUUUCUUUUUUCCUUUUUCUUUUUCUGCGUUAAUUUUCCCCCGAAUGGCUUUCUUGAGCAAGGUUGCGGUAGGGUGUCGCCGAUCCGGUGAUGUAAAUAUGUAUAAGUCGGUAGAUUUUUCUUUUUGAGUUGUAGACUUUUUGAUUCUUGCCGGAUCGAGAUCGUUGUACAGUUAUGGAUAGGGCCGUUGGGGAGCUCGAUCAUGGCAGAAAUAGGGUCACGGAUUUGAAGAGGAAGAGGGCAGUCAAGUGUGCUGCUUUUCUGAUGGGCGAGCGGUGUGGGAAGAUCAAACGUGCUGUCUCGAGGAGAGGAUUACGGUUUCCACCGGCGGAGGGGUUCAGCCAUGGCUGUGGUUGUUGUUCUGGAAAGUCGAUGAUCAACAACUAUGCCAACUUUCGCAAGAGCGGGCUGCCCAAGCGGAUAAUGUUCUUCUCAAAGGGAGAGUGGUGCGAUUUCCCGGCGCAUCUAAGAGGACCUCUCGUGGAUGCGUUUGGCAGCAAUAGAUCCGCGGUUGAGGUGGCGUUGGAUGCGCAAACGUGCCUCGUUGAUUUUCUUCACAUGCUGCUGAUCGAUCUAAGUAGUGGGAUGCAGCAAUCAGUUGCGUGGAUUGACGAGUCCGAUAGGUGCUUCUUUCCGAAGUUCUUUUUUGAUGAUAAUGAUGCCAAGGACGGAGAGAAGUGCAGGCACCCAAUGAGUGCAAAUGCACCUGAGAUUGAGGUGAAGCUUGAAAUCGAUAUUAGCGCUGCAGAUAGUUCGAAGACAGAGGAUCAAAGCGAUGUAUCAAUUUCACAUGCAAAGAUUGUAAGUGUCCAGCGCAGCCCGCUCAGAGAUGAGCACAGCGACUUGGAUCAGAAUUCUGGUUCUGACCGAAACCAGCCUGCUGAGAUUAAAGAAGUAGUCGACGAAAAUGGUGAUUUGCUGCGCGAGGGAGGAUCUCUUGGUCGAGGAUUAUCCUUUAUGAGCCAGGGGGUCCUAGAAACUUUUGGUUCAGAAUCUCUGCGUGACAAAAUAGUGGCUCUGGACAGAGGUUCUAGUGACUAUACUGCUGUUCGCGAUGUGUUUCUUUUGGGCUUGGGUACGCUUGUGACUGCUAGCCACAUAGUCGGGAUAUAUCGUUACUCCCCAACAAGCAGUUCUGCACAGGCUCGGAUGCAGCUAUUUGAAAACCAGGUUCAUGUUAUGAAGAGCUACCGUGGUGAUGCAAAUGUUCGGUAUGCAUGGCAUGGUUCUUCAAGAGAUGGUAUUGUUGAGAUUAUGCUCCAUGGAUUCGGAAGGAUCCGAAAUCCUAUAGGUGGAGUGGCAUAUGGGAGUGGCGUCUACCUUUCAUCAAAAGAAUGCGCCCUUAUCAGUGCCAGUUUUUCUGAUGUUGACGAAAAAGGUUUGCAACACAUGGUAUUGUGCCGUGUGAUAAUGGGAAAUAUGGAGCAAGUCCCUCUUGGUUCUGCACAGUUCUGUCCUAGCAGUGACAGUUUUGACAGCGGUGUGGACGAUAUUAGAAAUCCCAGACGUUAUGUCAUAUGGGGGACCCAUAUGAACACUCAUAUACACCCAGAGUAUGUUGUGAGUUUUAAGGUGCCUCCUGUUGAAGAGUACUGGGCUCGAUUAAAAGAAAGUCAAAACACAGUUCCGUUAGUGGCAGUUACAAAUUCUCCAUUGCCCGACACCCAUGUGAAACAACAUGCCCCUGUUGCUGAUUUGGGAAGCUCAACUGUGCCUGUGAAGAGGCCAACAUCUACGUGGAUGCCAUUUCCACUGCUGUUUGCUGCAAUUGAGAAACAUAUAUCUGCUGCAAAUAAAAAGCGCCUUGACUGUUAUUAUGAUGAAUUCAAGAGGAAAAAGUUGACCAGGGAAGAACUUAUUAAAAGGUUAAGAUCAAUUGCUGGGGAUGAUCUGCUGAUAGCAACCUUGAAAAAUUUGCGUUCCUGUAGAUAUGGCGUUCCUGUUUCGAAGUAGACAAAACUUUGGGGAAGUCUUAGGAAAGAUAAGAUCAGCAGGGUGGGCUGCACAAAUUGUGGCAGGAUGAUGGGACACAAACUUUUGCAGGGUUUUCAGAACCUUCAAGGAGAAGCUAAUACGUUGGCCACAAGCAGCUUUUGGAGGUGGAAUAAUCGAGCCAAGCUGUUCAUCGUCACGGUUUCCUGUCUGUUUGGAAAACCCAUUUGCUUGGAGCUCAGUAGUGGAUCGCAAAAGUUCUUGGUGUUCAUAAUAUUGACCAUCGCUUUCUGCGAGAUGGAUCGUAACAAAAAUGUACGCGAGGAUGAAUAUUUAGAGAAUGUAGUCAACAGAAAGCAAACGAAAAGGAAGGAACUCGCUUUGGCUUUAUCUCUCAUGCGUCAACCUGUUAUAUCCGUUUUAGAUGUGGAGCCUCCUGAAAAGGUCGCUGCUGUGUUGCUGAGCCUUCUGUUUUUAUUCCUUUCUGGUAGCCUGCAACUGGCUC
This is an RNA transcript of Nymphaea colorata (pocket water lily), 2501 nucleotides long. It is a transcript of the gene named probable inactive poly [ADP-ribose] polymerase SRO2, with no coding region annotated. Lineage: Eukaryota; Viridiplantae; Streptophyta; Magnoliopsida; Nymphaeales; Nymphaeaceae. The record is from RefSeq and is a predicted model, not a curated record. The transcript has 9 exons.